RNAcentral lists this non-coding RNA (29 nucleotides) under Mus musculus (house mouse). Lineage: Eukaryota; Metazoa; Chordata; Mammalia; Rodentia; Muridae. The record is from RNAcentral.
UAGCCUCCUUCUCAUGUGUUAACCCUUCU